GGCGGAUGGGUGAGUAACACGUGGGCAACCUGCCCUGCAGAUGGGGAUAACUCCGGGAAACCGGGGCUAAUACCGAAUAAUCAACAUGUCCGCAUGGACAUGUUCUGAAAGACGGCUCACGCUGUCACUGCAGGAUGGGCCCGCGGCGCAUUAGCUAGUUGGUAAGGUAAUGGCUUACCAAGGCGACGAUGCGUAGCCGACCUGAGAGGGUGAUCGGCCACACUGGGACUGAGACGCGGCCCAGACUCCUACGGGAGGCAGCAGUAGGGAAUCUUCCACAAUGGACGAAAGUCUGAUGGAGCAAUGCCGCGUGAGUGAAGAAGGUUUUCGGAUCGUAAAGCUCUGUUGUGAGGGAAGAACACGUACGGGAGUAACUGCCCGUACCUUGACGGUACCUCAUUAGAAAGCCACGGCUAACUACGUGCCAGCAGCCGCGGUAAUACGUAGGUGGCAAGCGUUGUCCGGAAUUAUUGGGCGUAAAGCGCGCGCAGGCGGCCUGUUAAGUCUGAUGUGAAAGCCCCCGGCUCAACCGGGGAAGGUCAUUGGAAACUGAUAGGCUUGAGUACAGAAGAGGAAAGCGGAAUUCCACGUGUAGCGGUGAAAUGCGUAGAGAUGUGGAGGAACACCAGUGGCGAAGGCGGCU
Molecule: ribosomal RNA, 643 nt
Filed under: uncultured bacterium
Lineage: Bacteria
Description: bacterial SSU rRNA
Rfam family: Bacterial small subunit ribosomal RNA
Source: RNAcentral